This 247-nucleotide long non-coding RNA is filed under the name Gallus gallus (chicken). The record is from RNAcentral. Lineage: Eukaryota; Metazoa; Chordata; Aves; Galliformes; Phasianidae.
CACACAUUCCCUGUUUUGUCCCGUUUGCGCUGCUCUGGAAUUCCCUACUUCAUUUCCUCAUACUCUUGUGAGGGAUCCAAGGUUGGGCCAGGAAUCAUCACCGUCUUAACAAUGGGGUCCUUUGGUGGAGCCCACUCUGGGACGAUCUUGCCGUGCAUCCUCCACGUGCCAUACGGGUUGACCAAGUACCUCUCAAACACCACAUAUUCCAGGACAUCCUUGGGCAGCUUUUCCCCGCCGUACAUCA